GACGAACGCUGGCGGCGUGCUUAACACAUGCAAGUCGAACGGAAAGGCCCUGCUUUUGUGGGGUGCUCGAGUGGCGAACGGGUGAGUAACACGUGAGUAACCUGCCCUUGACUUUGGGAUAACUUCAGGAAACUGGGGCUAAUACCGGAUAGGAGCUCCUGCUGCAUGGUGGGGGUUGGAAAGUUUCGGCGGUUGGGGAUGGACUCGCGGCUUAUCAGCUUGUUGGUGGGGUAGUGGCUUACCAGGCUUUGACGGGUAGCCGGCCUGAGAGGGUGACCGGCCACAUUGGGACUGAGAUACGGCCCAGACUCCUACGGGAGGCAGCAGUGGGGAAUAUUGCACAAUGGGCGGAAGCCUGAUGCAGCAACGCCGCGUGCGGGAUGACGGCCUUCGGGUUGUAAACCGCUUUCGCCUGUGACGAAGCGUGAGUGACGGUAAUGGGUAAAGAAGCACCGGCUAACUACGUG
RNAcentral lists this ribosomal RNA (467 nucleotides) under uncultured bacterium. RNAcentral describes it as "partial 16S ribosomal RNA". It matches the Rfam family "Bacterial small subunit ribosomal RNA", at positions 28 to 507 of the family's 1533-position model. The record is from RNAcentral.